CCAUUUUCCUCCAAAUUACUUCUCUCCAAAAUUACUUAUCCUUCUCAGACGGAAAAUCUCCAGCAAAAUCACUUUUUUCAAAAUCACUUUUUCUAAAAUCACUUUUUCUCCAUUGAAACCGUAAUUUCUCCGAUCAAAAUCGCUAUUUCUCAAAAAUCGCUAUUUCUCCAUCGAUGUUUCUCCUUUAUCAAUCAAAAUCGCCGCUUCUCUAUCAUCGAUCAAAAUCCCUGUUUCUUCAUCAUCGAUUGAAAUCGCAACUUCUCGUUCAUUGAUCGAAGCUUCUACUUCUCCUUCUUCAUUGAAAAUCACUGCUUUAACUUUCUCUUCGGAAAUCGCUACUUCAACUUUCUAAUCAGUUACUUUACCAUUCAAAAUCGCCCACGCAAUUCUCAAAACCUAAUACUUGAGAGAAGACUCAAGGUUGAAGCUGUAAUUUCUUUGAUUGCUACAAAGAACUUCAAUUACAUGGAAGCAACUCAUUAAUUAAGAUCUCCAACAAGUUAUGAUUGAGAUUUGAUGGAGAAAAUGCACCAUGAUUUUGAGGAAAUUUCAGUGGUACCAUGAUUUUGUUGGAGUUUCAAAUAAUGGUUUUUAUCGUAUAUUGCAGUAAACAAGCGUAAGAUAUAUCUAGUCCGGAACACUUUGGUUAUAGAACAUUAUUGAGACGAAAUCACCAUGUUCGGUUAAAAAUAAAUCCUUUCUCAGGUAUGCCUAAAUGAAGAAACAUGUUUUAUAUUCAUUCAGUGUAAGCUUUGUAUUGAUAUAACUUUGUAAGAUUUGUAUGGUUAUUGAUUGAUUUUUGUAUUGUGUUGCUACUAUUAUUUGUGUCACUUUUAUAGUGUUAAUUACUUAUAUUGUUACUUAUUGUUCUAUCUCACUAUAAUUGUUUAUUUUCUAUUAUACAUCUAUUUAAUUUGUCCCCUAGCAAUGAAUUGGUUCUUGUGAAAAAGUAAUCUGAAUUUGAGCCAAAGAGCUGUAGUGGAUGAAUUUAUAGUGUUUCUCUGUCAUGGAAACUAUCACUGCCCGAUUUUAUUUCCGUAUUUAAUUAUUAGGUGUUUUAUUUAUUUAAUUAUUAUUUAUGAGGUAAUUAUUUAUUUGUUGUAUUUUGGUGAAUAAUUGAAUAUGGGUGAUAUUUAAUUAAUUAAGUGAUUAUGUGAAUACUAGUAUAUAUCUAAUAAUGGGCCUAAUUAACUAGAAUGAGAGUUGGGUGGGUUAAGCCCAAAUGACAAAAUAAAGAUAGUAAGGGUUAUGUGAAAAAAACCUAGAAUUAGAUAAUAGAAAGAAAAGAUGAUAGAUAGAAGAGAAGAGAAAGAAGAGAAGAGAAAGAAGAGAAGAGGAAGAGAAGAGGGAAGUAGACUCUGGAAGAGGAAGGACUAGAAAUUCAAGGUUCAGACGAGUAGUUGCUUGUACGUGGCUUAGCCGAAGAGCUUCGAGUUUCAUUAUUUGAUUAGGUAGUGAGUCGAUGCUCUAGUCAUGUAACACUGGGUUAGGAUUAGUGGUGUUAAACUCAUGUUUUAUUCGGAUUUGUAUCUUGAUACUACCUUACAGUUUCGUAUGAUGUUUAUUGUUGUUGUGAGAGGCCUUAGUGCCAAGUAUUUUGGAUAUGAUGUUAUGAUUCCGUCUUGAAUACUA
Vicia villosa (hairy vetch) is the source of this 1632-nucleotide long non-coding RNA. RefSeq lists it as uncharacterized. Lineage: Eukaryota; Viridiplantae; Streptophyta; Magnoliopsida; Fabales; Fabaceae. The record is from RefSeq and is a predicted model, not a curated record. The transcript is spliced from 3 exons.